Molecule: ribosomal RNA, 594 nt
Filed under: Salmonella enterica
Lineage: Bacteria; Pseudomonadati; Pseudomonadota; Gammaproteobacteria; Enterobacterales; Enterobacteriaceae
Description: bacterial SSU rRNA
Rfam family: Bacterial small subunit ribosomal RNA
Source: RNAcentral
AGCUUGCUGCUUCGCUGACGAGUGGCGGACGGGUGAGUAAUGUCUGGGAAACUGCCUGAUGGAGGGGGAUAACUACUGGAAACGGUGGCUAAUACCGCAUAACGUCGCAAGACCAAAGAGGGGGACCUUCGGGCCUCUUGCCAUCAGAUGUGCCCAGAUGGGAUUAGCUUGUUGGUGAGGUAACGGCUCACCAAGGCGACGAUCCCUAGCUGGUCUGAGAGGAUGACCAGCCACACUGGAACUGAGACACGGUCCAGACUCCUACGGGAGGCAGCAGUGGGGAAUAUUGCACAAUGGGCGCAAGCCUGAUGCAGCCAUGCCGCGUGUAUGAAGAAGGCCUUCGGGUUGUAAAGUACUUUCAGCGGGGAGGAAGGUGUUGUGGUUAAUAACCGCAGCAAUUGUCGUUACCCGCAGAAGAAGCACCGGCUAACUCCGUGCCAGCAGCCGCGGUAAUACGGAGGGUGCAAGCGUUAAUCGGAAUUACUGGGCGUAAAGCGCACGCAGGCGGUCUGUCAAGUCGGAUGUGAAAUCCCCGGGCUCAACCUGGGAACUGCAUUCGAAACUGGCAGGCUUGAGUCUUGUAGAGGGGGGUAG